Molecule: long non-coding RNA, 3020 nt
Organism: Rattus norvegicus (Norway rat)
Lineage: Eukaryota; Metazoa; Chordata; Mammalia; Rodentia; Muridae
Source: RefSeq, a predicted model, not a curated record
GCACAUUUUUAGCUCCCUCCCUGACCUCGUCUCAAGGCUGAAGAACAGGGAACCCCAACAGCUCAGGAGCAGGGAGCACAGGUUCACCCUACUCUGUACAAGGGUUCUUCCUGGUACCCUACAUCUGGACAUGACAGCUACAAAGCUCUCCCAGGUCGACACUCCUUGAACCACAGACUUGUCAUGUGGCUGAAUAUUCUUUAUCCUUUUUUUUUUUUUUUAAAGCACUGAAAAAUAAAAAUGUGUAUCUUGGACUUACAAGAUGAAAAUCAUUCUGGAGAUGGCGCCACACUGCCCAAGAGUGGUUCAGAUGGUCAAUCCGAUGUCAUGCUUAUUUUACCACAAUUUAAACAAAAAGCCCAACCUCUCCUACCUCACUGGCCGGACUGGCCUGUGGGCUGUGCCCUGCCCCCUGAGUUAAUCUCACCUAAGGAUAUCCACUGUGAAGCGAGGAGAAGGAGAGAAGGGAAAGCAGGAGAGACAGUCAGUUUGCUAAAACUGAGUGGAUAUGGAUUUGCCAUCCCAUGGCAGACUGACAGCAACCAGCCCCACCACAGGCCUCGGUCCACCCCAGAGCUCCAGCACCCUGGGACUGAGGAUGACUCUCAAAGUCCAGUGGUGGUAAUGAGGGCAUUUCCAGGAUUCCAGCUGUCUCUGCAGACCUUGCCUGAGGGCCUUGAAACUGUGAGGUGUAUCCUUUAACCCAUGAGAACACUCUGGGUUAUAAACCAGAGGGGCCAAGGCUGAGAAAUAGGCAGGGACUCCACCUCCAAGGCCAAACUAGAGGAUACAGAAAAGUCGAUUCAGUUUUGGUCUAAAAGGUUUUGCAGCAGGUGAUUGGCGGACCUUGGAGACCUCUCCUAUGAUUACCAAGGGUGCGUACAAACCCACGAGGACCACCCUCACCCACACUAAUCUGCAGAGGGUCACGCCACGUGCAGGCCAAGAAGUGUCAACACAGCAACUGACUGAAGGCCACUGCCAUCAGCUGCCCACACCACCAUGAAACCACAGCCACAUGGCCACAAAGCCCAAGCUACACCAGAAACAGGCUCUGCUCAAACCCUGCCAUUCACCCAGGUGAGCGCUUCCCUCGCUGUGACAUUCAUAUGCUUAACGCCUAGAUGACGUAACUACCCUUCUCCAGGCACAGCCCAAUUCCUCUUCCUGGUUUUCCAAUGUUUCACUAAGACUAAAACAACACCUCUUUAAUCCGAAAAUUUCACAAACUGCUUUGAAAUCUGAUUUUAAACAACUUUCCAAAGCCUCGGCCAUUGCCAAGAGGAACUCCUCGGCGCCGGGACCCCACCCCUUCACCAGCAGGCAGGCGCGUGAACUCCAUGUUAAUGUUCAAACCUCAGUAACGGGAGCUGACAUUCAUUUACCGUGCACAGUAGACUGGCCCUGGAACUUUACCUCUGGUUUUGCCUUCAAAGGGCAAAGUCCAGCCUGGGAAUCCUACUUUCAGAGCACAGAGGCUCACAGAGCAAAUUGCCUGAGACCACAAAGCAGGACGAUCUACAUCACCCUUGGGAAGCCAGGUCCUACCCCACACUGAGAAGGUUUCAUGGGAUCCAGAGGGAGGCAAGGCAUGAAGGAAAGACGUGCAUUAUAGCUACUGGAUCACAUCGCCAGAUGGUCCCUGAACUGCCAGCAGGAGAUGAGGAAUUAUUAGCUCCAUUUGACAGAUAAAGAAACUAGGGCAGGGGAGGUGUCACAGGCUCUGCUCUGUGGGGGUUCUGCUCAUUUGGUUUGAGUGGGAAAUCUCACUUUUGAGUAGACACUCAUGCUUGAACACUUGGUUUCCCAGGUGACACUGUCCGGACAGGUUGUGGAAGCUCUUGGAGAUGGAGAAUGUGAGGUAGGGACCUAAAAGUCCGACAGCCAGGCCCACUUCCUUUUCACUCCCUACUUCCUGAGAGAAGAUGCCACAUGACAAACCGCUCCCAUGAUGGACCUCAUGGAGUCAGUAAUAAACUCUCCCUUGAGUAUCUUGUUUCCUGUUGGGGGCCUGGUCACCACAGCAAGAAACGCAACUGAUACACACAGAGCACUGCCAAGUGCUUGGGCCUCAAUAAAUAGCAACUUAACAGCCAAGGGAAGAGAUUCGCCCCAGGCCACAAGCAUAUUAGUCACUAAAUCAAAGUUAGAAUCGAGAUGUCCCCAUGCGUGUCACAAGUCCCGAGUUCCAAACAAGAGAAGUGAAUAAAAAGUUAGAAAAGCACCCUGAAGUGAACAGCAGAAGAGGGGCUCAGAGACAUCACGGUCAGCAGGGUCAAUACUCAGGAAGCUGAGUGGCGCGGCAGAUGGGGUCAGGAAGUAAAGUUUACUCAGUUCUCGACGCCAUGCCAAAUCUCUGGAUAGCCUACGCAGCCCUUCAGAAGCCAAAGUCCUCCAAAGAACUAUGGGACACAGUUACGUAUCUGUUCACGAGUGACUGCUUCUUCUCCACGUUACUCAUUACUAUGAGGAUUUGAAACGAUGAGCUUAGACUUUCUUUUGAAACACAAAGUACAGGUAUGCACACCUCCACAGGAGUCGCCAGCCCAACUGAUGCAGUUUCACAUUUGUUUCUCUUUGUAAAAUUAAAAAUUAUGGACAAAAUUUCUCCAUCCCCUCGUGCUGUAACCAAUUAUCAUGCAUUUUGUGGAUUUUUCAGUCUCCCACCCCCACCCCAGGCCCCCAUGAAUCUGCAACUUUCCUGCCUCCACCUCCAGAGAGCUAGGAUCCUCAGCAUGUGCCAUGUCCCCCAACUUGAAUGUAUGUGUUCUGUAUCCUUAAAAAUAGAAAGAGACUCAUGUAUGAUCUCUGAACUUGACAUGCUGAGGUCAUCUUUUGUUGCCGUCAGAAACCCAAGAUCAUUCCCCUUUGGCUUCUACAAACCAUCUUCUGUUCACCAAACCUGUUUAUAACUGCUUGUAACUUUCCUCUAGAAAAGCCAGCAACUGACAGCUGUCAUUUUGCAUUGUAAUUGAAAAACACUGUCUCCGUUGAAACUAUGUUGCAAAAGUAGCUUCAGA